This 537-nucleotide ribosomal RNA is filed under the name bacterium 2a81909. RNAcentral's name for it is "bacterial SSU rRNA". It matches the Rfam family "Bacterial small subunit ribosomal RNA", at positions 290 to 845 of the family's 1533-position model. RNAcentral also lists the same sequence under 1 other name. The record is from RNAcentral.
GCCUGAGAGGGCGACCGGCCACACUGGGACUGAGACACGGCCCAGACUCCUACGGGAGGCAGCAGUGGGGAAUAUUGCGCAAUGGGCGGAAGCCUGACGCAGCGACGCCGCGUGGGGGAUGACGGCCUUCGGGUUGUAAACCUCUUUCGCCAGGGACGAAGAGUGAUUGACGGUACCUGGAGAAGAAGCACCGGCCAACUACGUGCCAGCAGCCGCGGUAACACGUAGGGUGCGAGCGUUGUCCGGAAUUAUUGGGCGUAAAGAGCUCGUAGGCGGUGUGUCGCGUCGGCCGUGAAAACUUGGGGCUUAACUCUGAGCGUGCGGUCGAUACGGGCAUCACUUGAGUUCGGCAGGGGAGACUGGAAUUCCUGGUGUAGCGGUGAAAUGCGCAGAUAUCAGGAGGAACACCGGUGGCGAAGGCGGGUCUCUGGGCCGAUACUGACGCUGAGGAGCGAAAGCGUGGGGAGCGAACAGGAUUAGAUACCCUGGUAGUCCACGCCGUAAACGUUGGGCGCUAGGUGUGGGGACCAUUCCACG